AAAGUCCGGGCUCCUUCGGAAAAAAUGCCGGAUAAUAACCGGGCAUUAAAAGAAAACUGCAUAAGUUUUGUAUUUCUAACGCAAGUUAAAGGGUAUAAUAAGCUUGUAAAGUUCUUUUAAUGACAGAUAGUGCAACAGAAAUUGUACCGCCUGAAGGUUUCAGGUAAGGGUGAAAAGGUGGUGUAAGAGACCACCGCAUAAUUGGUAACAAUUAUGGCUUGUAAACCUCAUUUGGAGCAAGAUUAAGCAGCAGUAAUUUGUAUCCGAGCAAUACUGCGGGUAGAUCGCUAAAGUUUUCUGGUAACAGAAAUCUUGGAUAGAUGGUUAAUUUUAUUUAGGUUUUCUUAAAUAAAAGACAGAACCCGGCUUAUUGUCCCAUCU
This 381-nucleotide RNase P RNA is filed under the name uncultured Treponema sp. RNAcentral describes it as "Bacterial RNase P class A". It matches the Rfam family "Bacterial RNase P class A", at positions 47 to 362 of the family's 367-position model. Rfam says of the family: Ribonuclease P (RNase P) is a ubiquitous endoribonuclease, found in archaea, bacteria and eukarya as well as chloroplasts and mitochondria. Its best characterised activity is the generation of mature 5'-ends of tRNAs by cleaving the 5'-leader elements of precursor-tRNAs. Cellular RNase Ps are ribonucleoproteins. Lineage: Bacteria; Pseudomonadati; Spirochaetota; Spirochaetia; Treponematales; Treponemataceae. The record is from RNAcentral.